RNAcentral lists this long non-coding RNA (590 nucleotides) under Coturnix japonica (Japanese quail). RNAcentral describes it as "lncRNA (ENSCJPG00005014292.1)". Lineage: Eukaryota; Metazoa; Chordata; Aves; Galliformes; Phasianidae. The record is from RNAcentral.
CACAAACUCCACAGCACAGCUGUUCCACAUUCAUCUUUUCCUUCUUGCAAAUUUUUCUUCACCGAGAGGCAGUUUCUCUCUAUUUUUGUUGUUGUUUGUUGUUGCAGAGCCAAUUACAAAAGGCUGGUGGGUGACUUGAGCCACUAGAGCAGGGUGGAAGUCUGCGAAGGUGUUUUGUACCCAGCAAGAUCUGCAGCAGAGCUGAGGGAGGGAAGCCCUUCACCUGAGCCCUAUCCCUGCUAUCGAGGCACAUCUUGACUCAGCUCCACAAGGCUCUGAAAUAGUCCAAAACAGGAGGACGGGCAUUCAGUCAAAGCAAGGAUUGCAGGAAAUGUCAGAUGUGUGAGCUGUAGCUAUUGGAAGGUGACAUGGAUGCCUUCUUGGAGUUGCUCCCAAGUGGCCUUUAUCUGGGACAGAAAGAGGAAUAAUAACUGCAAGCAAAGAUACCACCCAAUUGGAUGGCCCUGUUGUGUGACAGCAACCUAUCGCUGAUUGAAGCAGGUGUGGAGGUUUUGGAGCCUGCAGAUGUGCAUCUUGCUGACUGCAGCUCACAGAAGGGGUAUGAAGUUCUGGGAACCCCAUCCUCAUGA